RNAcentral lists this ribosomal RNA (253 nucleotides) under uncultured bacterium. RNAcentral describes it as "partial 16S ribosomal RNA". It matches the Rfam family "Bacterial small subunit ribosomal RNA", at positions 524 to 776 of the family's 1533-position model. The record is from RNAcentral.
UACGUAGGUGGCAAGCGUUGUCCGGAUUUACUGGGCGUAAAGGAUGCGUAGGCGGAUACUUAAGUCAGAUGUGAAAUUCCCGGGCUCAACUUGGGAGCUGCAUUUGAAACUGGGUAUCUAGAGUGCGGGAGAGGAGAGUGGAAUUCCUAGUGUAGCGGUGAAAUGCGUAGAGAUUAGGAAGAACACCAGUGGCGAAGGCGACUCUCUGGACCGUAACUGACGCUGAGGCAUGAAAGCGUGGGGAGCAAACAGG